UACAGAGGUCCCAAGCGUUGUUCGGAUUCACUGGGCGUAAAGGGUGCGUAGGUGGUUGGGUAAGUCUGAUGUGAAAUCUCCGGGCUCAACCCGGAAAUGGCAUUGGAUACUAUCCAGCUCGAGGAUCGGAGGGGGGACUGGAAUUCUUGGUGUAGCAGUGAAAUGCGUAGAUAUCAAGAGGAACACCAGUGGCGAAGGCGAGUCCCUGGACGAUUCCUGACACUGAGGCACGAAAGCGUGGGUAGCAAACAGG
This 253-nucleotide ribosomal RNA is filed under the name uncultured bacterium. RNAcentral's name for it is "partial 16S ribosomal RNA". It matches the Rfam family "Bacterial small subunit ribosomal RNA", at positions 524 to 776 of the family's 1533-position model. The record is from RNAcentral.